UAGUGUUCCAGCCCUGUGACUGGUCGAAACUAGGGCUUGUUGAUACUGUAUAAAAGAUGUUUACCGGUUAGUCAGGUAACCCAGGCCCCGCUCAGAGGAGGCCAGGGGAUGACUACUUAGAGAGCUAAAGAUGAGCACAGUAAACUGUAAUCAGCUCCAGAACUGCAACAUCCCCACCUCCCCAGAGUCAGCCUUGGAGAGAGGAGCUCCGGUUUGCGGGUGGAGCCUCUUUCUGGGAACUUCCCUCGCAGCUGUGCAGGACGGGUGCGCCUGGAGUAGAAUCGGGCGCGCCUGGAGUAGAACCGGAGCAUGGUGUGGUGUACUGACUAGCCAGAGGGAAACCGAGAGUGAGCGGCAAGCAACAGGACCCACGUGACAUGGCAGAAGGAGCGUGGGAGAAAUGCAGCUUGCUCAGCAAUGAAGAUGAGCCACCGUGAAGUCAAUACCAACGGAAUUUCACAACUGCGAAAUGAAGAGGCCACAGCAGUUCGCAGAGCGUCCUGAUCCUGCGAAAAGAGCCAAGGCCACGUACACACCCCAGCAAGGAGCGGUCUGCUCUGACAUCUCCGCAGACACAGACAGGCUAAGGGAGGGCCAGAGAGGACCUAGCAGGCAGAGUGCUUGCUGCCAAUCUCCAGAACCUACAUGGAAGAAAGAAAGAACUGACUUCUGCAAGUUGACUCAAACCGCCACAUAAACCUCCACUGUACACAAUGGGAACUCACCAAGGCCAGCUGGCCUGGGUCUGAAAAAGCCUGGGAUAAAACCGGACUUGCUGAACAUAGCCGACAAUGAGGACUACUGAGAACUCAAGAACAAUGGCAAUGGGUUUUUGAUCCUACUGCACGUACUGGCUUUGUGGGAGCCUAGGCUGUUUGGAUGCUCACCUUACUAGACCUGGAUGGAGGUCACCAAGAGCUUCCAAGAAUGACUCUUCAGAGAGCCAAGCCUUCCACCAUAACACAUGGUCAGAACCUGAGGUUUUUAUCUGGAGGCCAGAAGAGGGCACCAGACCCUAUUACAGAUGGUUGUGAGCCACCAUGUGGUUGCUGGGAAUUGAACUCAGGACCUUUGGAAGAGCAGGCAAUGCUCUUAACCACUGAGCCAUCUCUCCAGCCCGUCAACCAACCACAGAUGAAAAUAUUAUGGGGGGAAAAAAUCCAAAAUGUUUCCGUAUCAGUUGGAUUUUUUCCAGCCUGUCACAGGACAGCACCAUCUGAGAACAGGAGA
Long non-coding RNA from Alexandromys fortis (reed vole), 1230 nucleotides. RefSeq lists it as uncharacterized. NCBI's taxonomy places the organism in Eukaryota, Metazoa, Chordata, Mammalia, Rodentia, Cricetidae. The transcript has 6 exons. The record is from RefSeq and is a predicted model, not a curated record.